RNAcentral lists this ribosomal RNA (403 nucleotides) under bacterium. RNAcentral describes it as "partial 16S ribosomal RNA". It matches the Rfam family "Bacterial small subunit ribosomal RNA", at positions 355 to 776 of the family's 1533-position model. The record is from RNAcentral.
UGGGGAAUAUUGCACAAUGGAGGGAACUCUGAUGCAGCGACGCCGCGUGAACGAAGAAGGCUUUCGAGUCGUAAAGUUCUUUUAUAUGGGAAGAUAAUGACGGUACCAUAAGAAGAAGCCCCGGCUAACUACGUGCCAGCAGCCGCGGUAAUACGUAGGGGGCUAGCGUUGUCCGGAAUCACUGGGCGUAAAGGGUUCGCAGGCGGAAAUGCAAGUCAGGUGUAAAAGGCAGUAGCUUAACUACUGUAAGCAUUUGAAACUGCAUAUCUUGAGAAGAGUAGAGGUAAGUGGAAUUUUUAGUGUAGCGGUGAAAUGCGUAGAUAUUAAAAAGAAUACCGGUGGCGAAGACGACUUACUGGGCUCAUUCUGACGCUGAGGAACGAAAGCGUGGGUAGCAAACAGG